UCCUAAAACAAACCAACAGUGCUCUCUGUCUCUCUCUCUCUCCGUCUCUAACACACGCACAAACCCAGUUGGGGCUUCCAUUCCAUCACAAACCCGACGUCCCUCUUUUGGUCUCAAUCACAAAGAACUCCUGUUGCCGAUGAAAUCUCCGACGACGUUCUGCUCUCUCCUGCGGCGAUGAAGUAAAGCUGGGUUUUGGAAAUUAAGAUUUCGAGACCGUCGUCGGCUUGGCCGCCGGUAUCAGGUUCGAAACCACUCCCGCUUUCAAGAUCGGAGUUGUUUGUGAGUUCGUUUGUGAUUUUGUCGAGUUCGUUUUUCGAAACCACUCCCGCUUUCAAGAGAGAGAGAGAGAUGUCUGACGCUGCUGUUGGAUUUCUCUUGGACAACCUCAAACAGCUUGUACAAGAUAAUUUUAACUUGAUAAAAAAUGUGAGGGAUGAAGUUGAUGGACUUAUACGCGAUCUUCCAUUGUUGAAAGCCUUAAUUGAGGUCUCGACAGAGACGGGCAGCGAGGAUAAAGUCGUUGAAGCGCUGGUGACUCGCAUCAGAGAUCUGACUUUUGAGGCAGAAGAUGCCAUCGAUUGCUAUACGGCUGUUGAGGCUACCGGCCAAAAGGGAAAAAAAUGGUUCCUGAAAGUGUUCGGUGGCCUGGAUCAUGCUCCUAAGCUUCAUAAAGUUGCAAAGAAGGUUCAAGACAUAAGGGAAGAAGUGGACAAACUGAACCAGAACCCGAUGUUCGUCUUUAAAGCCCUUCAAGCUAAAGACCCUGCUGGCCGAACGGAGAGGAGGCUCCCUGACGUUGAAAAAGACAACGUCGUGGGAUUUGACGAAGCCACAACAACGCUAAUCGAUCGGCUCACUGCAGAUACUAAAGAACUACAAGUAAUCUCGAUCAUAGGAAUGCCCGGGCUGGGCAAAACAACUCUGGCUAAUAAGGUCUUUAACGACCCUAGAGUUUCACAUGAAUUUUCUACUCUGGCCUGGAUUUAUGUAUCUCAAACUUAUACCAAAAGGGACUUGUUGCUUUCCAUUCUGAAAGGUGGUAAUCAAGUCACAACCGCCAUGUCUGACAUGGAUGAAGGCAGCUUGGUGAAAGAAGUCCGUGGCUAUCUGUCUUGGAAAUAUCUAAUUGUUGUGGAUGAUGUGUGGGAGGAGAAGGACUGGGAUAGCAUUAAAGAGGCUUUCCCCAACCACAAAAAUGGAAGCAGAAUCCUGCUAACAAGUCGAAACGAGCCCGUGGCUGUGCAUGCCCAUCCGCUUAGUCAGCCUUAUAAGCUGGAUUUUCUAACUUAUCCUCAAAGUUGGGAGCUGCUCCAGAUCAAGGUUUUUGGUCAAAAAGAAUGCCCUCAAGAGAGUCAAGACUUGAUUCCUGUCGGAAAGGAGAUCGCAGUAAAAUGCUGCGGUCUACCACUCGCGGUUGUGAUAAUUGCCGGAAUGCUUCAAACCAAGAAACGCAAAGACUGGUGGGAGACUGUAGCUCAAAGCGUCAACGCAUUCCUAGUCAUGAACGAAGAGCAAUGCUUAAAAGUGCUAGCUCUGAGCUACAAUCACUUACCGCCUCACUUGAAAGCAUGCUUCCUCUAUUUUGGAGUCUUCCCAGAAGGCUACGAGAUACCUGCCUGGAUACUAAUCCGAUUAUGGAUCGCUGAGCGAUUUGUACAGAAAAUUGGGGAUGUAUGCUUGGAGAAGAUGGCUGAGGACCACUUGGAGGAUCUGGCUGCGAGAAACCUAGUGUUGGUGAUACAAAGGAGUUUCAGUGGUCGAAUCAAAACAUGUCGUAUUCAUGAUAUGUUGCGCGACUUGUGUCUGAGAAAGGCUCUAGAAGAAUCCUUCUUAUUGGAGAUCAAAGAGGAUGGGAGUAAUUCAUCAUCUUACCCAACCCCCGGUGUAAGUGUCAUUAAUCGUCGCCUUUGCAUUCAUUCCGGUGUUUCGAAAUACAUUUCUUCCAAACCUUGUGGCCUCCGUGUCCGCUCUUUCCUGUGUUUUGCCAAGAAUCAAGUUAACCUACGACGUGAACAUGUAGGAUACAUCCCUGAAGAGUUUAAAUUGCUUAGGGUAUAUCAUAUUCAACCCAUUAGUUCUCCCCGGUUUCCCAGCGAGAUAGAAAAAUUAGUUCAUCUCACGUAUGUAGCCUUCUCCGGUGACUUCACAACUAUUCCUGCUGCCAUCUCCAACCUUUGGAACCUUCAAACUCUUAUUGUUGAAACGUCCUCACGCACCACGCGCACCAUUGACAUUAAAGCAGACAUUUUGAAAAUGUCACAGUUUAGGCACCUGCAUACAAACAAGGCCAGUCAGUUGCAUAGCCCUGUCGCCAAAAAAAGUAAGGAUUGUGAUAAUGCCUCUUUAAAUAAAAGCCUACAAACCCUUACCACUAUCACACCUAAGAGUUGUACCGAGGAUGUCUUAGGCCAGACUACAUGCAUAAAGAAGCUUGGGAUCCGUGGGAAGCUAGACAUCCUUGAGGGGAAGGGAUGGUCUCUUUUUGAUAACCUUACCAAGUUACAACAACUUGUGACAUUGAAGUUGUUGAAUGAUGCGUUCCCUGACCCUCCUUCUGAAUCUAAACUACAAGGUCUUCCCCAGUGGAACAAAUUCCCACCAAACUUGGAAAGGCUAACCUUGGCCGAUACCUUUCUUGACUGGGACCACAUGAAUGUACUGGGGAUGUUGCCAAAACUUGAAGAGCUCAAGUUAAAGGACAACGCAUUCACUGGGGUAAGUUGGACUCUAGUCGACAGGGGUUUCAAGAAACUCAAAGCUCUGCAAAUUUGGAAGACAGAUCUGGUGUACUGGGAGGCCAAAGCUGAUCAUUUCCCAAGCCUUCAGCACAUUGUUCUUAAGGACUGCAGGAGGCUAUGGGAGAUCCCUCCUAGUCUGGGCAAUGUAAAAACACUCCGGACAAUUAAGCUUCAUGAAACAUCACGUUCUGCUGCAACUUCUGCCAGGAAAAUCAAAGAGCAGCAACAAGAAAGCAAGGUGUACAAUGGGCUAAAGGUUGAUAUCUUUCCUCCGGAUCUUUGACAAGGCUCAUCUCCAGGGAACAGACGUGAGAAAGAAGAUACAUAGAAGAUACUUCCACAGGUGAUAAUUUGGAUGGCAAUUGAGGAAUUGCAGCACCUUUGGAACCCACCUGUUGGACCUCUAGGGUGUCAUUUAUCUCGUAUUUGUGUUUUGAAUAAGUUGUUGUAUUUGAAUAAAUGGUGAAUGUGUGUAUUCCACUGACACGUGUGGUUGUUGAUUUGAACUCUUGCAUUUUGGUAUAUAAUUUCACACUCGUUUACAAUC
RNA transcript from Rhododendron vialii, 3288 nucleotides. It is a transcript of the gene named putative late blight resistance protein homolog R1C-3, with no coding region annotated. NCBI's taxonomy places the organism in Eukaryota, Viridiplantae, Streptophyta, Magnoliopsida, Ericales, Ericaceae. The record is from RefSeq and is a predicted model, not a curated record. The transcript is spliced from 3 exons.